CAGCCGCCGCGGUAAUACGUAGGUGGCAAGUGUUGUCCGGAAUUAUUGGGCGUAAAGGGCUCGCAGGCGGUUUCUUAAGUCUGAUGUGAAAGCCCCCGGCUCAACCGGGGAGGGUCAUUGGAAACUGGGAAACUUGAGUGCAGAAGAGGAGAGUGGAAUUCCACGUGUAGCGGUGAAAUGCGUAGAGAUGUGGAGGAACACCAGUGGCGAAGGCGACUCUCUGGUCUGUAACUGACGCUGAGGAGCGAAAGCGUGGGGAGCGAACAGGAUUAGAUACCCGUGUAGUCCCUGUCUCUUAUAC
Molecule: ribosomal RNA, 301 nt
Filed under: uncultured bacterium
Lineage: Bacteria
Description: partial 16S ribosomal RNA
Rfam family: Bacterial small subunit ribosomal RNA
Source: RNAcentral